CGAUGAAUAAACACCCUGAAUAAUAUCUGAAGUACUCUGAGACUGCAAUGACUUUGGUGUGUAUAGUAGCAAUAUAGCGGCUUUUUUUUUUAAAUGCAAAGAUGUUAGUUGAUGAAUAGUGGCCGUUUACAUGGAAGGAGAUCCAGCAACAAGAGCGAGCAGUUCAUUCAAAUGGACAGAGACAGGUGGUAAAUGAUUAGGAAGUACUAAUAUAAGAAAAUACUUAUUUUAAGUUGACCUCAGGGAAGUACUGAAAGCAUAUGACCCUGUUAAGAUCACAGGUAUGUGAACGUAGCCUCAAAGAUUUUGUGAUCAAAGAUAACUGUAGAUCUACAAGACAGAUGAGACCAAACGCAUGAAAGUCAAAGGAGGUCAUGUGUUUUUAUUUUAAGAUUACAAUGAGAUGGUAUGAAGGUGGUAAAUUCAUUAGUCCAUUUGGUAAAAAUCAAUCAUUAAGAAAGCUCAUAUAGAGUGGGGGAACUAUGACGUCACUUUGUAGGCGGAUCGGCGGUUAGCAUGAAACUGGUUCCUCGACAAAAAGCCUAUGGGAUUUUUCCAUAGGCUUUUGGAUUAUCGCAAAAAAUAAGCUCUGUGUUCAACCAUAGUAUAUGAAACUUACACAUUUUGUCCAUCAAGAUAAUCUUCACAAAAUAAUAUAACUUUAAUGAAUUUUGAUGCCUAAAUAACUGCGCCAGAACUUAAAAGCUAAACUUAGGCUAUAAACGAACUGCAGCACCAUGGUCACUCGUCUUCAGCGUCACCACCACCGCGUUCCCGACAACUAUUUCAAACUUAUUUUUAACGUGUUCAGUGAAAAGGAUUUACUCUGUAUAUGAAUUUUAAUCCACGCUACAUGAACCUUUUCAUAUAAACUGGAAUAAAUACAAAACUAGAGCCAAACAAAAACUGAAAUGAGACAUUAAUAAUAAAUAGUAUAGUGAAUAAAUGAAAUAAACAUACCUAAGGGACAUUUAAAGCACAUAUUUCUGUACAUUUCGAAAUAAGGUGCAUUAAAAGUCAAUAAAUUCUUGAUUAAUAUGAAUAUUUUAAUUAAAAACGUGUCUCCACGUACUAUUCAAUAAAAGUCUAGUGUAUUUAAUCUAUUAAAUAACAGCAGAGUGAGUUUUUGGAUAUGGUAAGAUUAAACUUAUUUUAGUGAAUAAAGUACCACAUUUCAGCUAUCGUUUUGUUAGGAUGGGUAAACAAAAUGUUAUUUUAUCCUUGCUUCUAGGAAAUCCUCAAUCUGUAUGCUUUCUUACAGUUUCUUGUGGCCGUAAACAUUUAAUUUUAACGUGGCUUUAAGCUCAUAUAGAGUGGGGGAACUCUAUACAUCGUUAAAGUUUCACUUUCACCAUGACUAAGCCGGUAAAUGUGGUGUUUACAUGAAAUAAUCAUACGAGUUUACCUUAUGGUACGAACCCAUAGUCUCCGCAUCAGUAAGCGAUAAAACGAGCUUCUUCCCUCCGAAGACUUGUGUUGCAUUUCGGGGCAAAACAAAAAACAUUGUCGAACAACAAUAUAAAAUGCGGGAAAAUAUUAAUUAGUUAUUCUACAAUUAAUUAUAUUACAAAUUGUACUACAGCUGCAAAUACUGUAAAUUGAUAAACUGUUCGGUGUGAUGACGUUGAAUGUCUCCAACAGCGUCUGUAGUCCCAUUUAGCAACUUGUUAGCAACCAUUUUUUUUAAACGUAACAGUUUAAAAAAAAUCACGAGUGGGGUGUAACUGGAGUGUUUUAUGUCGUAGAAUAAAACGUGAAAGUGUGAACCACGGACCUUAUUUAAGGGAUUUAACCAAAAUCCCAUUCAAAAAACCCAUUGACACUGGGACGAUGGAACCGGAAGUGCUAAAAUGCUAACUCGCUUCCACCACUCUAUUCUGACAUUAGAUAGAGGUGUGACUUGGUGUCAUGGAAAUGGACUCUGGACUCCACUGACUCUCUUUGAAUGUCAUUUGCAAUGUAAAAUAUGCAUGUCAACAAACCUGUUGCAUAUUGUGUAGGCCUACCUAAAUGGAGCAACACAUGGUUUACUGAUCCAACACAACCUUUCUUGUCUCUGAAAAGACAAGUUGGAGGAUUUGUGUAUCUGUGUGAUCAUUUGUUGGCAUAUCAUCAUGAGGACUGAUUUGAUGUUAGUACUGUUAUCAGAGAAAAAGAGACAGAUAGUGAGACUGGAGGUGAAAUCAAGUCAAAAUGUGAACGAUCCUGGCGUGAAGAGAGAGAUUUUGGCAAAGGUAGAGCAGAUACUGAAGGGGAAUGGGCUGACAGAGGAUGCUAAGCUCUCGUGGAUGAUGUUUUCUGGUGAAAUUGUCUUUCACAGGAUGUGGUGUCAGAAGAAUGAUUUUUCUAAUUUGCACUGCAGGAGAAACAUGAAAUGAUUGUUCAUAAUAGCAUUUCCUACCUAAUCAUCCUCACAUUUAUACUGACUGUGUCCUUUUAGCCACAUUUUGAAUACUGCUUUUGCAUUGUUGAAAGUUUGUAAAACAGUAGUUUGAAAAAUGGCAACAACAGACACAAACCUAUGCAAAAUAAAUGUAAACUGGAAAGCAAGACGACGCCUGCAGGUCAACAUCUGUCCUACAGAGGGAGCUCAAAAGAAGCGAUGAAAGAACUAAAAGAAAAACAGUUUUUAGUGAGUCACUGUAAAAAUUAUUUUUCAAAGUUUUAAAUGAAAAAUUAUUGGAGUAUGUUUUACAAAAAAAAAAAAAAACUACUUUAGUAUUUCUACUUUAAAACUUAAUGUUUCAUUUAAUGUGUUACUUGCUGUUUCUUGGUAAUUAUUUGUGAAAUGUAGCAAUUUCUGUCUAAAGUAAAUCCUGGCAAGUAAAAUCUGCUCAGAUUUAAUUUUUUUUAGUGUAUGUGUGAUAAUAAAAACACAAACUCAAAGAAAUCAAUAAACUCUGCUCUUCUCGUCCACAAUCGUAGGUUAGUUAUUUUGUUGUGUAUGGUUUGUAACUUAUAUAGAAUUCAUUUUGAUGAAUGACACACAUCUUCAGGAGGAAGAUUACUAGGCAUGUCACAGCAAUCAUGAGAAUAUAACUUUAAUAUUUGUCUAAAGCAAACAUGUCUUUACACAUUAGAUCUUAAAUGAAGCACAUGUGCAUUUAUUGACUUUGCACAUUUGUUUGGUUGUGUGAACACAACAUCACUUC
Molecule: long non-coding RNA, 3152 nt
Organism: Onychostoma macrolepis
Lineage: Eukaryota; Metazoa; Chordata; Actinopteri; Cypriniformes; Cyprinidae
Exons: 3
Source: RefSeq, a predicted model, not a curated record